This 68-nucleotide transfer RNA is filed under the name Cynoglossus itinus. Its description in RNAcentral is "tRNA-Phe". It matches the Rfam family "tRNA". From Rfam's summary of the family: Transfer RNA (tRNA) molecules are approximately 80 nucleotides in length. Their secondary structure includes four short double-helical elements and three loops (D, anti-codon, and T loops). Further hydrogen bonds mediate the characteristic L-shaped molecular structure. tRNAs have two regions of fundamental functional importance: the anti-codon, which is responsible for specific mRNA codon recognition, and the 3' end, to which the tRNAs corresponding amino acid is attached (by aminoacyl-tRNA synthetases). tRNAs cope with the degeneracy of the genetic code in two manners: having more than one tRNA (with a specific anti-codon) for a particular amino acid; and 'wobble' base-pairing, i.e. permitting non-standard base-pairing at the 3rd anti-codon position. The record is from RNAcentral. Lineage: Eukaryota; Metazoa; Chordata; Actinopteri; Pleuronectiformes; Cynoglossidae.
GCCCGCGUAGCUUAAGUAAAGCAAGACACUGAAGAUGUCUAGAUGAGCCCUAGAAAGCUCUACGAGCA